UGGACUUUCGCACGGGCUCAUCCCAUCCCAUUUCCCGUCCAUGGGUGACCACUGGGUGUAGGAGAUCAGCCCACGUGGGUAUGGGGAGGGGCUGUUGCUGCUGCUGCAGGUCCUGGAUUGCCCUCUUAUGCUGUCGGAUGCGCUCUGUCUCCUCCCGCUGUCGAAUUAAGUACGCCUUCAAGCCCCCCAAUCAUACCAAUGACUGCAAACCCAUUCGGGUGAGAACUUAA
This 230-nucleotide long non-coding RNA is filed under the name Apteryx owenii (little spotted kiwi). RNAcentral describes it as "lncRNA (ENSAOWG00000004285.1)". The record is from RNAcentral. Lineage: Eukaryota; Metazoa; Chordata; Aves; Apterygiformes; Apterygidae.